CCAAGGAGUUCGCCUCACCGGCGAGUCGUAGGGUUCUUUACGAGACCUGAGCGGCACAAUGAAAGUGACGGACGUUGGGACUCAUGGCGUCAGCGGCCGUUUGGACCAAGCAGAAGUCUUGUGGGGUGAUCCUGAACCGAGUGAAACUGCGGGAACCUUGCCCGGCGUGCGCGUCGGCUUGGGGAGUAGUGAAUCGAGGUGUUUAAACUCAGGCGCAACCCCCGGGCGGGCGCUACCCUCUCCUAGCCUUGGUGCCAUGCAGCGCCCUGGUUUUCUGGGGGGAAUGCGUCUCGUACCGUGAGCCGGUGGGACGAUACCCGAAAGAUGGUGAACUAUGCCUGGCCAGGACGAAGCCGGGGGAAACCCCGGUGGAGGUCCGUAGCGAUUCUGACGUGCAAAUCGAUCGUGAGAGCUGGGUAUAGGGGCGAAAGACCAAUCGAACUGUCUA
This 448-nucleotide ribosomal RNA is filed under the name Hutchinsoniella macracantha. Its description in RNAcentral is "eukaryotic LSU rRNA". It matches the Rfam family "Eukaryotic large subunit ribosomal RNA", at positions 666 to 946 of the family's 3401-position model. Lineage: Eukaryota; Metazoa; Arthropoda; Cephalocarida; Brachypoda; Hutchinsoniellidae. The record is from RNAcentral.